This 230-nucleotide long non-coding RNA is filed under the name Phaseolus vulgaris (common bean). Its description in RNAcentral is "long non-coding RNA (PVUL_LNC005371)". The record is from RNAcentral. Lineage: Eukaryota; Viridiplantae; Streptophyta; Magnoliopsida; Fabales; Fabaceae.
AUCUUCAUGGUUAUGGAUAAACUCUUCUCUAGAGAAGUGAUACAUCUUCAUGGUUUAUCCUCAAGCAUAGUGUUGAAUAGAGCUCCAAAUUUCGCAAACCAUGAUUUGAGGAUUUCCUUUGGAAAACUUGCAACUAAGUUGCACACUUUAAAUUCUUAUCAUCCUCAAACGCAUGGUCAAAAUACAUUUGACAAUCUAGCUCUUUCUACUAUGCCUAGAAUAAUCAUGAU